UUCUUGGUUGAUCCUACCAGUGAUAUACGCUCGUCUCAAAGGUUAAGCCAUGCAUGUCUAAGUACAAGCUUCCUAGAAAGUGAAACCGCAUAAGGCUCAGUAUAACAGCUAUAAUUUACAAGAUCCUCAUCCAAACAGUUACUUGGAUAACUGUGGAAAAGCCAGAGCUAAUACAUGCAUUAUGCCGGGACUGUUGGCCUCCGGGUCGGCGGAACUGGUGCACUUAUUAGUUAAACCAAUCGCCUCCGGGCGCUUUGAGUUGAAAUCUGGAUAAGGAUGCCGAUCGUACGGUCG
Molecule: ribosomal RNA, 294 nt
Organism: Anopheles gambiae str. PEST
Lineage: Eukaryota; Metazoa; Arthropoda; Insecta; Diptera; Culicidae
Rfam family: Eukaryotic small subunit ribosomal RNA
Source: Rfam